CCGGUAAACGGCGGCCGUAACUAUAACGGUCCUAAGGUAGCGAAAUUCCUUGUCGGGUAAGUUCCGACCUGCACGAAUGGCGUAAUGAUGGCCAGGCUGUCUCCACCCGAGACUCAGUGAAAUUGAACUCGCUGUGAAGAUGCAGUGUACCCGCGGCAAGACGGAAAGACCCCGUGAACCUUUACUAUAGCUUGACACUGAACAUUGAGCCUUGAUGUGUAGGAUAGGUGGGAGGCUUUGAAGUGUGGACGCCAGUCUGCAUGGAGCCGACCUUGAAAUACCACCCUUUAAUGUUUGAUGUUCUAACGUGGACCCGU
Molecule: ribosomal RNA, 317 nt
Filed under: Escherichia coli
Lineage: Bacteria; Pseudomonadati; Pseudomonadota; Gammaproteobacteria; Enterobacterales; Enterobacteriaceae
Description: partial 23S ribosomal RNA
Rfam family: Bacterial large subunit ribosomal RNA
Source: RNAcentral